Molecule: ribosomal RNA, 257 nt
Filed under: uncultured archaeon
Lineage: Archaea
Description: partial 16S ribosomal RNA
Rfam family: Archaeal small subunit ribosomal RNA
Source: RNAcentral
CAGCCGUAAACUAUGCGCGUUAGGUGUACUGGUGACCACGAGUCACCGGGGUGCCGAAGGGAAACCGUGAAACGUGCCGCCUGGGAAGUACGGUCGCAAGGCUGAAACUUAAGGAUUGCGGGGAGCACCACAACGGGUGGAGCCUGCGGUUUAAUUGGACUCAACGCCGGAAAUCUCACCGGAUAGGACAGACAUAUGAUAGUCGGGCUGAAGACUCUACUUGAUGAUCUGAGAGGUGGUGCAUGGCGUCAGUGACU